CGUUACGAACGUGACUCAAUACAUUAAAUUGAUUCCUAUCAGAUAAGUAAACUGUUGAUGCUUGCUUAUGGCUUGCUUUCGGGUAGGUCAUUGGGUAAGUGGAAGUUUACCUGAUAGUUUGUCAGCUGUAAAAGGUUGGCUUUGAUCUGCUUAAUGAGACAAAUUGUGUUUAGCAAAAUGAGAUUGAGCAAUAACAGGUCCGUGAUGCCCUUAGAUGUCGUGGGUUGCACGCGCGCUACAAUGAGACCAUCAACGUGAUACUUGAUAAGAAAGGAUUGGGAAAUCAAUUAAAUGUGCUCUUAGUUGGGAUUGUGGAUUGUAAUUAUUCACAUGAACCUGGAAUUCCCAGUAAAUGUUAGUCAUCAGCUAGCGUUGACUAAGUCCCUGCCCUUUGUACACACCGCCCGUCGCUAUUACCGAUUGGUUAUUUAGUGAGGUCUCCGGAGGUAAUCGCCGAAGAUGCUUAGGUAUCAUUAGGUUGUUUUGCCAAAGUUGACCGAACUUGAUGAUUGAGAGGAAAUAAAAGUCGUAACAAGGUUUCCGUAGGUGAACCUGCGGAAGGAUCAUUA
RNAcentral lists this ribosomal RNA (569 nucleotides) under Simulium parahiyangum. RNAcentral's name for it is "SSU rRNA". It matches the Rfam family "Eukaryotic small subunit ribosomal RNA", at positions 1326 to 1831 of the family's 1831-position model. The record is from RNAcentral. Lineage: Eukaryota; Metazoa; Arthropoda; Insecta; Diptera; Simuliidae.